GACGAACGCUGGCGGCGUGCCUAAUACAUGCAAGUAGAACGCAGUUGCGAACGGGUGAGGAACGCGUAGGUAACUGCCUCAUAGCGGGGGAUAAAUAUUGGAAAAGAUAGCUAAUACCGCAUACUGUGAGAUGGACCUGAGUUGUAUUCGCUGGUUGGUGAGGUAAAGGCCAACCAAGGCGACGAUACAUAGCCGACCUGAGAGGGUGAGCGGGCAACCCUGGACUGAGACACGGCCCAGACCCCUACGGGUGUCAGCAGUAGGGAAUCUGUGGAAGUGGACGGAAGGCUGACCGAGCAACGCCGCGUGAGUGAAGAAGGUUGUCGGAUCGUAAAGCUCUUUUGUUAUAGAAGCGGUAACUAACCAGAAAGGGACGGCUAACUACGUGCCAGCAGCCGCGGUAAUUC
This 407-nucleotide ribosomal RNA is filed under the name uncultured bacterium. RNAcentral's name for it is "partial 16S ribosomal RNA". It matches the Rfam family "Bacterial small subunit ribosomal RNA", at positions 28 to 526 of the family's 1533-position model. The record is from RNAcentral.